This 791-nucleotide ribosomal RNA is filed under the name uncultured bacterium. RNAcentral's name for it is "bacterial SSU rRNA". It matches the Rfam family "Bacterial small subunit ribosomal RNA", at positions 8 to 796 of the family's 1533-position model. The record is from RNAcentral.
AGAGUUUGAUCCUGGCUCAGAUUGAACGCUGGCGGAAUGCUUUACACAUGCAAGUCGAACGGCAGCACGGGGCAACCUGGUGGCGAGUGGCGAACGGGUGAGUAAUGUAUCGGAACGUGCCCAGUCGUGGGGGAUAACGUAGUGAAAAUUACGCUAAUACCGCAUACGAUCUAUGGAUGAAAGCGGGGGAUCGCAAGACCUCGCGCGAUUGGAGCGGCCGAUAUCAGAUUAGGUAGUUGGUGGGGUAAAGGCUCACCAAGCCAACGAUCUGUAGCUGGUCUGAGAGGACGACCAGCCACACUGGAACUGAGACACGGUCCAGACUCCUACGGGAGGCAGCAGUGGGGAAUUUUGGACAAUGGGCGAAAGCCUGAUCCAGCCAUUCCGCGUGCAGGAUGAAGGCCUUCGGGUUGUAAACUGCUUUUGUACGGAACGAAAAGGCUCUGGUUAAUACCUGGAGCACAUGACGGUACCGUAAGAAUAAGCACCGGCUAACUACGUGCCAGCAGCCGCGGUAAUACGUAGGGUGCAAGCGUUAAUCGGAAUUACUGGGCGUAAAGCGUGCGCAGGCGGUUAUGUAAGACAGAUGUGAAAUCCCCGGGCUCAACCUGGGAACUGCAUUUGUGACUGCAUAGCUAGAGUACGGCAGAGGGGGAUGGAAUUCCGCGUGUAGCAGUGAAAUGCGUAGAUAUGCGGAGGAACACCGAUGGCGAAGGCAAUCCCCUGGGCCUGUACUGACGCUCAUGCACGAAAGCGUGGGGAGCAAACAGGAUUAGAUACCCUGGUAGUCC